UAAGGAAUAUUGGUCAAUGGACGCAAGUCUGAACCAGCCAUGCCGCGUGGAGGAUUAAGGCCCUCUGGGUUGUAAACUCCUUUUAUCUGGGAAGAAAUGCCAGUUUUUUAAUUGGUUUGACGGUACCAGAGGAAUAAGCACCGGCUAACUCCGUGCCAGCAGCCGCGGUAAUACGGAGGGUGCAAGCGUUAUCCGGAUUCACUGGGUUUAAAGGGUGCGUAGGCGGGCAGGUAAGUCCGUGGUGAAAUCUCUGGGCUUAACCCAGAAACUGCCAUGGAUACUAUUUGUCUUGAAUGUUGUGGAGGUAAGCGGAAUAUGUCAUGUAGCGGUGAAAUGCUUAGAUAUGACAUAGAACACCAAUUGCGAAGGCAGCUUACUACACAAAUAUUGACGCUGAGGCACGAAAGCGUGGGGAUCAAACAG
RNAcentral lists this ribosomal RNA (423 nucleotides) under uncultured bacterium. RNAcentral describes it as "bacterial SSU rRNA". It matches the Rfam family "Bacterial small subunit ribosomal RNA", at positions 355 to 775 of the family's 1533-position model. The record is from RNAcentral.